UACAGAGGGUGCAAGCGUUAAUCGGAAUUACUGGGCGUAAAGCGUGCGUAGACGGUCAUGUAAGUCGGGUGUGAAAGCCCCGGGCUCAACCUGGGAAUUGCAUUCGAGACUGCAUGGCUAGGGUGCGGAAGAGGGAAGCGGAAUUUCCGGUGUAGCGGUGAAAUGCGUAGAUAUCGGAAGGAACACCAGUGGCGAAAGCGGCUCCUGGUCCAGCACCGACGUCAGGCACGAAAGCGUGGGGAGCAAACAGG
Molecule: ribosomal RNA, 251 nt
Filed under: uncultured bacterium
Lineage: Bacteria
Description: partial 16S ribosomal RNA
Rfam family: Bacterial small subunit ribosomal RNA
Source: RNAcentral